AUUGAACGCUGGCGGCAUGCCUUACACAUGCAAGUCGAACGGCAGCACGGGAGCAAUCCUGGUGGCGAGUGGCGAACGGGUGAGUAAUAUAUCGGAACGUGCCCAGUCGUGGGGAUAACGUAGCGAAAGCUACGCUAAUACCGCAUACGAUCUAUGGAUGAAAGCGGGGGAUCGCAAGACCUCGCGCGAUUGGAGCGGCCGAUAUCAGAUUAGGUAGUUGGUGAGGUAAAGGCUCACCAAGCCGACGAUCUGUAGCUGGUCUGAGAGGACGACCAGCCACACUGGGACUGAGACACGGCCCAGACUCCUACGGAGGCAGCAGUGGGAAUUUUGGACAAUGGGCGCAAGCCUGAUCCAGCAAUG
Molecule: ribosomal RNA, 363 nt
Filed under: uncultured bacterium
Lineage: Bacteria
Description: bacterial SSU rRNA
Rfam family: Bacterial small subunit ribosomal RNA
Source: RNAcentral